UUUUCUCUCCUCUCUCUCCA
RNAcentral lists this small RNA (20 nucleotides) under Arabidopsis thaliana (thale cress). Its description in RNAcentral is "ATSL009730". Lineage: Eukaryota; Viridiplantae; Streptophyta; Magnoliopsida; Brassicales; Brassicaceae. The record is from RNAcentral.